This 305-nucleotide ribosomal RNA is filed under the name uncultured bacterium. RNAcentral's name for it is "bacterial SSU rRNA". It matches the Rfam family "Bacterial small subunit ribosomal RNA", at positions 337 to 659 of the family's 1533-position model. The record is from RNAcentral.
ACCUACGGGGCGCAGCAGUGGGGAAUCUUGCACACUGGUUUCCACCCUGAUGCAGCAACGCCGCGUGAGUGAUGACGGCCUUCGGGUUGUAAAGCUCUGUCUUCAGGGACGAUAAUGACGGUACCUGAGGAGGAAGCCACGGCUAACUACGUGCCAGCAGCCGCGGUAAUACGUAGGUGGCGAGCGUUGUCCGGAUUUACUGGGCGUAAAGGGAGCGUAGGCGGACUUUUAAGUGAGAUGUGAAAUACUCGGGCUCAACUUGAGUGCUGCAUUUCAAACUGGAAGUCUAGAGUGCAGGAGAGGAG